GCGUGCCAUUAGCUAGUUGGCGAGGUAACGGCUCACCAAGGCGACGAUGGCUAGGGGUUCUGAGAGGAUGAUCCCCCACAUUGGAACUGAGACACGGUCCAAACUCCUACGGGAGGCAGCAGUGAGGAAUAUUGGUCAAUGGGCGGAAGCCUGAACCAGCCAUGCCGCGUGAAGGAAGACGGCCCUAAGGGUUGUAAACUUCUUUUGUACUUGGGUAAAGUCAGUUACGUGUAAUUGAUUGAAAGUAAAGUACGAAUAAGGAUCGGCUAACUCCGUGCCAGCAGCCGCGGUAAUACGGAGGAUCCAAGCGUUAUCCGGAUUUAUUGGGUUUAAAGGGUGCGCAGGCGGGCUAGUAAGUCAGUGGUGAAAGACUGCCGCUUAACGGUAGCAUUGCCAUUGAUACUGCAAGUCUUGAGUACAUUUGAAGUGGGCGGAAUGUGUAGUGUAGCGGUGAAAUGCUUAGAUAUUACACAGAACACCGAUAGCGUAGGCAGCUCACUAAGAUGCAACUGACGCUCAGGCACGAAAGCGUGGGGAUCAAACAGGAUUAGAUACCCUGGUAGUCCACGCUGUAAACGAUGAUAACUGGCUGUUGGCGAUAGAC
Molecule: ribosomal RNA, 604 nt
Filed under: uncultured bacterium
Lineage: Bacteria
Description: bacterial SSU rRNA
Rfam family: Bacterial small subunit ribosomal RNA
Source: RNAcentral